UUCAGGUCAUUACACGUGCGUCCUCCUCAAAGUUGUGCGGAAAUCGCGUACGGCUGUAUAUUCCUGUUUUCUGUGAGAAGGAGGAAAUGCUGUCCUUCUGGGAUGUGGCUGUUGAUUUCUCUCCAGAAGAGUGGGAAUGCCUGGGGCCUGCUCAGUGGAGUCUGUACAGGGACGUGAUGCUGGAGAAUUACAGCAACCUUGUGUUCCUGGGUCUUGCUGUCUCUAAGCCAUUCCUGGUGACAUUUCUGGAGCAAAGACAUGGGCCUUGGGAUGUGAAGAGAGAAGCGGCAGCCACUGUGCCCCCAGGAAUAAUACUCAAUGAUCCUAAGUAUUACAGCAUGCCCACUAACUGUAAAUCAUUUCUUGUUAAUGGAGGGAGAAUUCAUAUAGGGGAGAAACCCUACAACUGUGGAGUAUGUGGUAAGGCCCUUAGUUCUUAUAAAACACUUUAUAUACACCAGAGACUUCAUACUGGAGACAAACCCUUCAAGUGUAAAGACUGUCAUAAGGCCUUUAGUACUCGGUCAUCACUUUUUAUACACACGAAAAAUCAUUCUGAUGAAAAAACCUACAAGUGUGAAGAAUGUGGCAAGUUAUUUUACUAUCCUUCAAUGCUAAAGCAACAUCAGAGAAUUCAUUCUGGAGAGAAACCCUACAAGUGUGAAGAUUGUGGAAAAUUCUUUUUAUUUCCCUCAUUCCUUAAGCAACAUCAAAGAAUUCAUUGCGGAAAAAAUUCCUAUCAGCAUAAAGAAUGUGUCAAAAGAUUUUCCCAUCCUCUACAACUUCAGGAAAAUGAACAAAUCCCUACUGAAGAGAAACCCUACAAGUGUGGAGAAUGUUGUAAGUCCUUUCGUUAUCCCUCAGGCCUUAGGACACACAAGAUAGUUCAUACUGGAGAGAAACCUUACAAGUGUGAAGAGUGUGGCAAAUGUUUUACAUCAUCUUCCUGCCUUAGAACACAUCAAACAAUUCACUCAGAAGACAAUCCUUACAAGUGUGAAGAGUGUGGCAAAUGUUUUUCCUCAUCUUCCUGCCUUAGAAGACAUCAAGCAAUUCAUUCUGAGCACAAACCCUACAAAUGUGAAGAGUGUGGCAGAUGUUUUACCUCAUCUUCAGCCCUUAGACGACAUCAAAGAUUCCAUUCCGAAGAGAAGCUGUAUAAGUGUAAAGAAUGUGACAAAAAGUUUUCAAAUUCUAAAAGUCUUCAGGAACAUAAAACAAUUCAUACUGGACAGAAACCAUACAAGUGUGAAAACUGUCACAAAGCUUUUCAUUAUAGCUCAUCCCUUAGGAGACAUAAACCAGUUCAUACUGGAGAGAAAUCCUACAAAUGUGAAAAAUGUCACAAAGCCUUUCGUCAUCACUCAUCCUUUACGAGACAUAAGACAGUUCAUACUAGAGAGAGACCCUUCAAAUGUGAAAACUGUCACAAAGCUUUUCGUCAUAGCUCAUCUCUUAGAAAACAUAAUAUGGUUCAUACUAGAGAGAAAUCCAACAAGUGUAAAAAGUGCCCUAGGUACUUUUCCUCAUCCCCAUGCCUUGUACAACAUCAAGCAAUUCACUCUGAAGACAAUCCACACAAGUGUGUGGAAUGUGGCAAGGCUUUUAUUGAUGCUUAUAGCCUUACUCGACACAUGACAGUUCAUACUGGAGAGAAAUCUCAGAAAGGUCUGAUGUUGCAGGAUUUUCCUUGUCCAAUUACAUUAGGGCAACAGGAGGCCUGUGAUUGGACAGGGAAAAUGGAGGUGGAGCUAAGAGUUGCAGAGACAGAGAGCAUCUCAGGGGAGAAGGAGGAAGGCCAACUUGGAGGUGGAUAUGAGCCAGCAUGGCUUUAACCAGCUACAGUAUUUAUGAUAUCAUAAGUGUAGAAUAAUUGGGAUAAAGCUCUUAUUAUUAUCAAUUGGUAUGAAAUUAUUGUAUUGGCAUCUUGCAAACUGAGAAUUUAUUGGUACAUAAAUCUGAUUGGUUAAUUAGAAGCUCCUAGUGUCUUGUUUCUACCGGGUAAUUGGGUGUUGUGGUGGCUGACCACAGAGUGGACAGGCAGGCAGGAGCUAGCUAGAGAGUUGCUGGCUGCAGGAGCAUGGGAAGACUGUUGUUCAGGACCCACUGGAGAGUUGGGUGGCAGAGAGAAACUGGGGUGCGGAGAGUUGGCCGUUUCUUUUUUAAUAUUUCCCACAACAGUCUCAAAAACUUUAUAUUUCUUAAGCCCUUAAGACGUCAAAUAAUUCAUACUGAAUGAAACUCUGUGGCUGUGUGGAGUGUGGUAAAAAUCAUUCCUAAUCCUUCAAACCUUAUCCAAUUCAAAUCAGCCCAAAGGUUAAAGUCUUAAGUGAAUUAGUAUGGAAUGUCAACACCAACAUGGUGCAACGUCCACCAAUACAAAUGUUGAGAAUGUCAUCAGAGAACUGUAGAGACUUCUCUUUGCAACAACCGCCCCACCAGUGUGUUCUAUAGUUUGCUGGAAUAUCGCAUGGUUUGAUGCGUUUCUUUCUUCUAUACUUAUAGACAUAAAACAAAACUGCUACUAUUUUCUCACGUGGGUCUGAGAUGAGGGCCAUGGUAUAGUUGCUGUUGUUCAUCUCAGUGGGGUCACCAAGCCCCUCUAAUAAUGUUUCUCCUAAGCAUGUAAAAAAGCUUGAUAAACUCACAAGUCUCACUUUUGUAAAAUGGUCUGCAUUGGUUCUAACUAGGCUGAAUGGGCAUUAGUGUUUCUCCAGGAAAAUCUAACAGUUAGAACACAUCGAAGUCAUAUUUGGUUCCAGAAUGAAGAAUCAUUAUUUUCUUUACCUUCAGAACAGUGUUUCUUAUCCAACUUCCAUGUCAGAGAAACUUGACAGGGAAUUGAAAUAUGGACCCAGGCCGCAUGCACUCACUGAGUAAAAGGGACGGGUGUGUUUACUAGUGGACAUGUGAUGUCAGUGGUGAGACAUAGGUGCAGGGCUUACUUUAUUAUUCAUGCAGAUCCAAAAUAGUCAUCUCAAGCUUGAGUUUACUAAGUUGGGUAAGCAGUUAUAUCAUGGUCAAUUAAAGCCUAAAAGUUAUGAAUUAAUUAUUUUUAAGUGACCAAAUGUCUCUAAUGUACCUAACAGUGUAUUUGAAGUACAGGUGACAUUUAUGGUGACAAGGCAGGUUGGAGAGGCCAGCUUAUGUCUCUUAAUCUUUAGUCUUCUGUAUGCUAUUGAAGUACAUCCUAAGAGACACUCGGGAGGCCAGGCAGCAGGAGCUGAUGGGAGAACGCAUGGAGGGAUGUUUUUUGCUGGCUUGCUUCCCCUGGCCUGCUCCCUUUGGUUUUUUGUAGAACCUAAGACUACCAGGCCAGAGAUGGUACCACCAACAUGGGGCCUUCCCCAUUUGAUCUCUAAUUGAGAAAAGGCCCCUCAGCUGAAUCUCAUGGAUGCGGUUCCCCAACCGAAGCUCCUUUCUUUGUGAUAACCCUUGCAUGGGUUAAGUUAACACACAAAAGCAGCCAUUACAAAGCCCAAGCUUGCUCACCUAUACUCUAGCCUGAUCUGAGUGAACAGACUCAUCUCUGUUCUGGAGACUGGACUCUGGGUAAGAACUCAGGAAAGUUGCAUGCCUGCCGACCACUCUAAGUCUUAUGUGAUACUGCAGUGAUAACAGGGGUCUUGCCCCCUGUAGUCCUUACUGUUUAGAUCAUCUUCCUUGGUGAGACUCCUGUGAGUCUUGUGAAGAACUCUGAAUUCUCCAUGCCUAUUCACAAGCUUCAUGUUCGAGAGUACACUUCUCGGAAAGUUCUCCAGGGUCAGCAUGCAGCGACAGAGGAAACUGUUUUUGGGGCCUGACACUAUCCCAAGAUGGAAGCAGAACUGCCUAGCCCUAACCCCAUUGUACUCGUGGAAUCUCUGAGGUGCUGCCUGAAGGUCAGCAUCGAGCUUUGCAGCUGUGCUAAAAGAAAUGCUUUCCAUGCAAUUGGUAUGUUGUAUACUGUCCCUCCUCACACCUUUGUGGGGUCACACUUCAUGAAACAUGCCGGGGACAGCUAAGUGGACUUGGAACCCCAGCAUAGACUCAUGUUAGAACCACAGCCACAUCUAGACAGAGGCUAUCUGUGUUUCAGCCCACAGAUCAAGUUUAGGUUGACACUGUUCUUUGGCAUCUGUCUUAGUCAGGGUUUCUAUUCCUAUGCAAACAUCAUGACCAAGAAGCAAGUUGGGGAGACAAGGGUUUAUUCAGCUUACACUUCCACGUUGCAGUUCAUCACUAAAGGAAGUCAGGACUGGAACUCAAGCAGGUCAGGAAAGAGAAACUGAUGCAGAGGCCAUGGAGGGAUGUUUUUUACUGGUUUGCUUCCCCUGACUUGCUCAGCUUGCUUUCUUAUAGAACUACCAGUCCAGAGAUGGUACCACCCACAAGGGGCCCUCCCCUCUUGAUCUGUAUUUGAGAAAAUGCCCACAGCUGGGUCUCAUGGAGGCACUUCCCCAACUAAGGCUCCUUUCUCAGUGAUAACUCCAGCCUGUGUCAAGUGGACACACAAAACCUUCAGUACUGCAUUCAAAUGAUCCGUUCAGCAGCCACAGAUGCAAUGCAUGUGAUGAGGGUUUUCAGAGCACAUUUCCAUCUAACUUGUUCUUACCCUUCUCUGCCAGGUGCCCAUUCCUCCCUUUUGGAAUAGGCAGGUUUCCACUGGCCCAUGGCAUGUUGAAGGAGAAAACUUGUGAGCAUUUUUGAGAUAAGCAAUUGAUCGAAUUACAACAUUGGAGACUCUGGGCUUUGACUGUAAUGGGACUAUAAAAGUCUAUGGGCAUGUUGAGAAAUUGUACUUUUUAGAAACAGAUGAAAGUGAAAUUCUCAGAGGUUUUCAGGUUAGAGAUUAUGGUGUAUUUUGAGGUCUUUGAUUGACUAAUUCCAAUAAAGUUAUUUGAUAUUUCUGA
This is an RNA transcript of Apodemus sylvaticus (European woodmouse), 4892 nucleotides long. It is a transcript of the gene named zinc finger protein 58-like, with no coding region annotated. The record is from RefSeq and is a predicted model, not a curated record. The transcript is spliced from 5 exons. NCBI's taxonomy places the organism in Eukaryota, Metazoa, Chordata, Mammalia, Rodentia, Muridae.